CCUACGGGAGGCAGCAGUGGGGAAUUUUGGACAAUGGGCGAAAGCCUGAUCCAGCAAUGCCGCGUGAGUGAAGAAGGCCUUCGGGUUGUAAAGCUCUUUUGUCAGGGAAGAAACGGUGGGAGCUAAUAUCUCUUGCUAAUGACGGUACCUGAAGAAUAAGCACCGGCUAACUACGUGCCAGCAGCCGCGGUAAUACGUAGGGUGCAAGCGUUAAUCGGAAUUACUGGGCGUAAAGCGUGCGCAGGCGGUUUUGUAAGUCUGAUGUGAAAUCCCCGGGCUCAACCUGGGAAUUGCAUUGGAGACUGCAAGGCUAGAAUCUGGCAGAGGGGGGUUAGAAUUCCACGUGUAGCAGUGAAAUGCGUAGAUAUGUGGAGGAACACCGAUGGCGAAGGCAGCCCCCUGGGUCAAGAUUGACGCUCAUGCACGAAAGCGUGGGGAGCAAACAGGAUUAGAUACCCUGGUAGUCCACGCCCUAAACGAUGUCUACUAGUUGUCGGGUCUUAAUUGACUUGGUAACGCAGCUAACGCGUGAAGUAGACCGCCUGGGGAGUACGGUCGCAAGNUUAAAACCGUCAAAGUAGUAGUGCGNGAGAGAGCGACGACGACGACGACGGAGGGAGGNG
RNAcentral lists this ribosomal RNA (623 nucleotides) under uncultured bacterium. Its description in RNAcentral is "bacterial SSU rRNA". It matches the Rfam family "Bacterial small subunit ribosomal RNA", at positions 338 to 1251 of the family's 1533-position model. The record is from RNAcentral.